Molecule: non-coding RNA, 959 nt
Organism: Paramuricea clavata
Lineage: Eukaryota; Metazoa; Cnidaria; Anthozoa; Malacalcyonacea; Plexauridae
Source: the annotation of a GenBank genome assembly
AAUGAAGGUCUUUCAAUUUUAUGUGAAUGGAAAGUCAAGUGUAUAACUAAAAUUGUUGCAUGUUGCAUCAUGUGUCGAAGACCAAUUUACACUACACAACUUUUGCCCAAAGCCUGGUUUCCUUAGGGUCGUAACGGUCGUAAAGAUUAAUCCUCAUAAAAUAAUAGGUAAUAAUUCAAAUUUUUUGUUUUAAAAACUUCAAAAAAUAUUCUUACACGUUUAGGGCAGGGCGUUUGGUAGAGGGGGGAACGCUUUAUAGAGGGUCAUUUGAUGAAUGUUAUAUUUCAUUUUACGUAUAGUACUGAAUUUUGUGUUAACUUUAUUUUGUCAAGAGCUUCUUGAAGAGCAAAGACGUAGAAAGGAAGCUCGCUUAAAAGGUAAAGCAAAAAUAAUCUAAUUCCGAUUAUGCUGAUCGGGCAAGGCUGAGGCGGAAAGACUUCGCUGAUGAGAUGUCUUUUAGGAUUACCAAUCCCUCCGCCAUGUCCGUGGCAAUAUAACGACAAACGAACAACAGGAUAAAUGAAAGGGAAUAAAUAAGAAUUCACACGACUGCAUUAAACAUCCUACGAGGAGAAAGACGGUGUCUCUAUUGGUUCUUCUUGAUAUAUUUUAGACCCAAUAUUAGCUGAUAUAUAGAGGAUAUAUUACACGGCGGCGCGAAGAUAUGACUUUUAUCUUAGAGUGGUGAAAACAAUGUUUUACGAACGAGCGCAGAGAGUGAGUAAAAUAUUGUUUUUAACACGAGAAGAUAACAGUCAUAUCUUCAAGCCAUGGUGUAAUGUUCUGUUUAUUAUAUAGUCCCAAGCAAAAAAAAUUGAAAUUUCACGCUCAAAAGCAAAUUGGAAAAAAUCACGUGAUCGAUAUCUUCACUAGUGAAGAAAUGGAAAAUAUCUCACUGUGCAUUUUUCAGUAUCUCACUUUCUACUAUAUAAUAAAAUUAUAUAUAAGUCCGACAUUAA